This 468-nucleotide ribosomal RNA is filed under the name uncultured bacterium. RNAcentral describes it as "partial 16S ribosomal RNA". It matches the Rfam family "Bacterial small subunit ribosomal RNA", at positions 28 to 507 of the family's 1533-position model. The record is from RNAcentral.
GACGAACGCUGGCGGCGUGCUUAACACAUGCAAGUCGAACGGAAAGGCCCUGCUUUUGUGGGGUGCUCGAGUGGCGAACGGGUGAGUAACACGUGAGUAUCCUGCCCUUGACUUUGGGAUAACUUCAGGAAACUGGGGCUAAUACCGGAUAGGAGCUCCUGCUGCAUGGUGGGGGUUGGAAAGUUUCGGCGGUUGGGGAUGGACUGGCGGCUUAUCAGCUUGUUGGGGGGGUAGUUGCUUACCAAGGCUUUGAUGGGUAGCCGGCCUGAGAGGUUGGCCGGGGUCCAUGGGACUGAGGGACGGCCCAGUCUGCAAUGGUAGGCAGAGGUGGAGAAUAUUGCACAAUGAGCGGAAGCCUGAUGCGGAGGCGCCGCGUGCGGGAUGAAGGCUUACGGGUUGUAAACCGCUUUCGCCUGUGACGAAGCGUUAGUGACGGUAAUGGGUAAAGAAGCACCGGCUAACUACGUG